RNAcentral lists this ribosomal RNA (465 nucleotides) under Vreelandella stevensii. RNAcentral describes it as "partial 16S ribosomal RNA". It matches the Rfam family "Bacterial small subunit ribosomal RNA", at positions 338 to 795 of the family's 1533-position model. The record is from RNAcentral. Lineage: Bacteria; Pseudomonadati; Pseudomonadota; Gammaproteobacteria; Oceanospirillales; Halomonadaceae.
CCUACGGGUGGCAGCAGUGGGGAAUAUUGGACAAUGGGCGAAAGCCUGAUCCAGCCAUGCCGCGUGUGUGAAGAAGGCCUUCGGGUUGUAAAGCACUUUCAGUGGGGAAGAAAGCCUUGGGGCUAAUACCCUCGAGGAAGGACAUCACCCACAGAAGAAGCACCGGCUAACUCCGUGCCAGCAGCCGCGGUAAUACGGAGGGUGCGAGCGUUAAUCGGAAUUACUGGGCGUAAAGCGCGCGUAGGCGGUCUGAUAAGCCGGUUGUGAAAGCCCCGGGCUCAACCUGGGAACGGCAUCCGGAACUGUCAGGCUAGAGUGCAGGAGAGGAAGGUAGAAUUCCUGGUGUAGCGGUGAAAUGCGUAGAGAUCGGGAGGAAUACCAGUGGCGAAGGCGGCCUUCUGGACUGACACUGACGCUGAGGUGCGAAAGCGUGGGUAGCAAACAGGAUUAGAUACCCGGGUAGUC